UUAGCUGAGCUGAUUUAACAAAGCUGCAGUAAUUAAACCUCAUACACUUCAGGCAGGGGAUUCAGCUCCGAGUGCUAUCAGGAUCCUGUCUCGGAAGGAAAAUCUUUUUGGUGUGAGCAGCUGAGAGGAUUUAAACCAAGGAGAAGCUGGCCAGGGAUGUGGAAGGUGCCCUGUUAGAAUUGCUGGGAAAUGACUGAACUGGUGCAGAGGGUCAGGAGGAAGGAAGGAGAGCCCUGGAUCUAUGCAGAGGUUCCUGGACUCCAGCACUGGCUGACCAUGCCCAGCUCAACACUUUUGAUGAAAAGGUGUCAGCCCUGCCCGGCUCCCCGAGGAAGCUCCCUCUACGGGCGAUGCUGCGGCAGCGUUGCUCCAGCUCCACGCCGCAUCCUGCUGCAGAAUCCCACGGGUCAGCCCUGCACAGUGGGCAUUAACACCGCAGGAGCAGCCAAGACUUCCAGACGGUGCUCCUGUGAUCUCUGUCAGUGCAGCUGUUUGCUGGGCUGUGAUGGAAAAUGUUGGAUUUUAACCCCACAUAAAGGUUUGGAAAGUGCUUCUACUCAGCAAAGCCAAAGUUUCAGAGCCACCAUCAGAAUGGGCAUAAAACGCCAUAAAGACAUUUCGAUUCUGAAAUAUUGGCACGUCCUUAGAGUAAGUUCAGGGUCAAAGGGAGAUAUGCUGUAGCUGUGAAAUCAAAAAUUCCCUGCCUCUGUGGAAGGUUUGGAGCUUGCCAGGGGCAGGAGAUCUGCCAGAGAGCACUUUGCAGCGCAGAGCUGAGGCUCAGCAAGCGGGAGCAAAACUCUUGGGGGCAGAGGCUUGGUCCUUCAGGGAAAAGAACCAGUUUAUACUUUUGCUGGUUCUGAAGAGAAAAUUGGUGCAUGUUCCUGGUCUGUUAUCCUCCUCCAAGAGAUGAUGUGACAGCACGGGCUGGAGCAGAGCUCCUCUGAAGGGUAAAACCUGACUGUGGGCCACUGCAGGAUGCGAAAUAAAUCCGUGACUGCCAGUCCAAAUCCCCCCGAAGCUCCUGGGGCGUUAGGGGAGGGGCACUGAACGCCAGAACUCUCAUGAAAAUGCUUGUCACCUGCUGUGGUGGGUGGUCUGUGGCUCUGGAGGUGGCAGGGAAGAACAGAGGGUGUCUGGGCUCAGAGAUGUCCCCGACAACCCCGCAAAGCUGAGUUAUGCGGAGUCGUCACGUUAACGUACAGCCGGGGAGAAGGAUGGGAGAAAUACUGCCACGCACAGAUCCAUAUUUUUCUCCACGGAGUAAAAUACUGUGUAAUUUUAUCUAGUUUCUAUGAAACAGUUUAUACUCCUUGUUUAUUUAAAAAAAAAAAGUGGAGGUCGAGGGGGGGGGAAAUCCCCCAUAUUUCACUCCCUCUACUGACAGGCUAUGGAGGAAAAAAUAGAUGGUUUCUUCUGCAUUUAAUAUUUCAAACCAAGUAGACCCAAAAGAAAAGGCAGCAAUUAACCACAAGUACCAGCAAUGCGCUCCUUGUUUUUCUUCUCUCUGGAUUUGGCUACAAAGAAUCAGUUUAGUAUAAACUUAUUUCCAGUCACGUUAAACCUUUUAGCAAUAAUUUUCCAAGCUACGCAGGAAAGCAGCGCAGCCACGCUUGUCUUCCCAGAUUUCGGAGGUGGGACCCGCAUCUCACAUUUGCUCAGGAUUUAAAACCCUUUACAGGAUGGUUAGGAAAUGGUCAGCACAUACCUGACCACACGUUGGAGUAAGCUUUAUGCACAUACACAGGGAAGGAAAUUUAUAAGCCUGGCAGAACCCCAAAAACGGGGCCAAAUGGUGAAGUGGGCAUUGACUGUGGUGCAGGUUCUCUACCUUUGGACAUCCAUAUUUGUGCUUGUACACGCAGGGCGAUGUAUUUUGCCUCCUCCCACUGCAAAUUCCACGUGAGCCCUGCCUGUGGCUCCGUGGCAGGAGCCUGAGCAUCACCUGAGCAUCACCUCGCCCACAAAUGAACCAUUUUGCCAUCACUGCUUGGUUCCUUGACACCUAAAUAGCAGGAUUAGCUGGACCCUCAUCAGGAAUGCAGCAAGGACACAGAGUUCCUUGCCUUCCUUCCCCACACAGCCUGCACCCAGAGCUGGCAGCAUCCUGUGACUAACUCUUCUAGACUGGAUUUCUCCAAGGGACGGCCGGCGCUUAAUUUGGCUGACUCCGCGCUCUGCAGGAGCUCUCAUCCAUGCCAGCUCGAGUCCUAGCAAAAACCCAUCAUCAUUAGCCCUCCAAAGGCACAGCUCGGAUAUUCUCCACCCUGUUCCUGCAGGCUGGGCUGCUCUGUGCGUUCCCACAGACCGAAAUUCCCCUGGUGGGCUCAAUUACAGCAAUCAGCCUUCAUGCUCUUUUCCAUGGCACUGCCGCCUCCCGCUCCGCACGGACACCCUCCCGGAGCAGCAGCUUUCCCACAGGUGUCAGGGGAGAUGACACUGCUCCUGCAGCUACACCAG
Hirundo rustica (Barn swallow) is the source of this 2457-nucleotide long non-coding RNA. RefSeq lists it as uncharacterized. The record is from RefSeq and is a predicted model, not a curated record. Lineage: Eukaryota; Metazoa; Chordata; Aves; Passeriformes; Hirundinidae. The transcript is spliced from 4 exons.